GGCUUAGAGUUUGAUCAUGGCUCAGGAUGAACGCUGGCGGCGUGCCUAAUACAUGCAAGUCGAGCGAAGCGCCUGCUUCUGAUCUUUCGGGUGAAGAAGCAGGCGACUGAGCGGCGGACGGGUGAGUAACACGUAGGUAACCUGCCUCACACAGGGGGGAUAACAGUUAGAAAUGACUGCUAAUACCGCAUAAGCGCACAGGACCGCAUGGUCUGGUGUGAAAAGCUCCGGCGGUGUGAGAUGGACCUGCGCCUGAUUAGCCAGUUGGCGGGGUAAAGGCCCACCAAAGCGACGAUCAGUAGCCGGCCUGAGAGGGUGGACGGCCACAUUGGGACUGAGACACGGCCCAGACUCCUACGGGAGGCAGCAGUAGGGAAUAUUGCACAAUGGGGGAAACCCUGAUGCAGCGACGCCGCGUGAGCGAAGAAGUAUCUCGGUAUGUAAAGCUCUAUCAGCAGGGAAGAAGAUGACGGUACCUGACUAAGAAGCACCGGCUAAAUACGUGCCAGCAGCCGCGGUAAUACGUAUGGUGCAAGCGUUAUCCGGAUUUACUGGGUGUAAAGGGAGCGUAGACGGAGAAGCAAGUCUGGAGUGAAAGCCCGGGGCUCAACCCCGGGACUGCUUUGGAAACUGUUAUUCUUGAGUGCCGGAGAGGUAAGCG
This 661-nucleotide ribosomal RNA is filed under the name uncultured bacterium. RNAcentral describes it as "bacterial SSU rRNA". It matches the Rfam family "Bacterial small subunit ribosomal RNA", at positions 1 to 663 of the family's 1533-position model. The record is from RNAcentral.